This 347-nucleotide unclassified non-coding RNA is filed under the name soil metagenome. RNAcentral's name for it is "partial contains 5.8S ribosomal RNA, internal transcribed spacer 2, and large subunit ribosomal RNA". The stretch from base 1 to 120 matches the Rfam family "5.8S ribosomal RNA", at positions 35 to 154 of the family's 154-position model. The record is from RNAcentral.
GAUGAAGAACGUAGCGAAAUGCGAUAAGUAAUGUGAAUUGCAGAAUUCAGUGAAUCAUCGAAUCUUUGAACGCACAUUGCGCCCGCCAGUAUUCUGGCGGGCAUGCCUGUCUGAGCGUCAUUUCAACCCUCAUGCCCCUAGGGCGUGGUGUUGGGGAUCGGCCAAAGCCCGCGAGGGACGGCCGGCCCCUAAAUCUAGUGGCGGACCCGUCGUGGCCUCCUCUGCGAAGUAGUGAUAUUCCGCAUCGGAGAGCGAUGAGCCCCUGCCGUUAAACCCCCAACUUUCCAAGGUUGACCUCAGAUCAGGUAGGAAUACCCGCUGAACUUAAGCAUAUCAAUAACGGAGGA